AACGUAGGAGGCGAGCGUUAUCCGGAUUUACUGGGCGUAAAGCGCGUGCAGGCGGAUUGGAGAGUUGGAUGUGAAAGCUCCCGGCUUAACUGGGAGAGGUCGUUCAAUACUUCCAGUCUUGAGUGCAGUAGAGGGAAGUGGAAUUCCGGGUGUAGUGGUGAAAUGCGUAGAUAUCCGGAGGAACACCAGUGGCGAAAGCGGCUUCCUGGACUGUAACUGACGCUCAGACGCGAAAGCUAGGGUAGCAAACGGGAUUAGAAACCCUAGUAGUCC
RNAcentral lists this ribosomal RNA (273 nucleotides) under uncultured prokaryote. Its description in RNAcentral is "partial 16S ribosomal RNA". It matches the Rfam family "Bacterial small subunit ribosomal RNA", at positions 524 to 796 of the family's 1533-position model. The record is from RNAcentral.